This 2191-nucleotide long non-coding RNA is filed under the name Mus musculus (house mouse). Its description in RNAcentral is "long non-coding RNA chr8:108453215-108455406". Lineage: Eukaryota; Metazoa; Chordata; Mammalia; Rodentia; Muridae. The record is from RNAcentral.
GUGUGACUCUGACUUUCCUCUCCUAGGUCAAGGCCAUCAGUGUCUAUCAAGGGUUCAAUUAUGGAAGUGUUCUUCAGAUCUCAGAUAUGUAUCAUUGAAUAGAAAUGUCAUGGCUGCAAAUCGAGCCCAAAUUGUUCUGAAAUUUUCACAUUGGCACACAAUAUUUAAGUCUCAAGUCACUAUAGUGAAGCAAGACUUACACGUGAGUCCUUUGGAUGUCCUACACCCGUAGUUUAUGCUCUAAUAGACUCUAGAAUCUAGAGAAAGCACCAAGACCUUCGGUAUCAAUAGCACUGAAGUAAUCUAGAGCAGUUUUCAUCCUAGUCACAGCCCAUGGGGAGACCAUGGCACCCAUGAGAACAACACAGGGGACAAACACUUCAAGCAGACCAGACCGUGGAUUCUGUUGCAUGAAGACAGAAGGAAAUGGAGCACCAGGCAGAAGACCAGGGGUGUCUCAGCUCCAAGCAGUGCUCUUAGCCCACUGGGAGAUGCUAGGUGUAUUCUUUCUAAUCAUCUCUCUUGUGCAUUUUCUGCAGUUUGGUACCUUUCUCUACUUCCUGCCUACAGUACAUCCAUAGUGCAGCAAGUAACUGAUGAACUCCAUGACCAGCAAGAAGAAAUAAGAACAUGGAAAUCUGUUUGAACAAAUCCAACGGGUGUGAGCAGGGUGGGACAUACCUGGGACCCUGAGAUUGAUCGCCCUCUAGCCCUUCAGGAGAGACAAAGCGAGACAAUAGACACACCCAGCAAGUCCAUUGUCCUAGUGUCUGUCUUUAAUUAUCUCCCUCCACUUCCUCAAAUCACAUUCAUAAAUAUUUAAUAAUGACCCAGCCUCUCCCCCAACCCCAGCGUUCACAUACUCUUGGGCCCCUUUAUGAAAUGAUCCUGUUAGCUGAACUUAUCUCCAGCCUCCCACAAACUCAUAAGCUCUUUCCUGUUCCAAGCCCAUCGGCAGAUUUCUACUGGGUCAUGCAUCUUAAAGGAGCCCCUUCAAUAACAGCCAUGGCAGCUCCCAUCUAUCAAACACUGACAUUUGUCCCUGUCACACUUCCCACACAAUACUCAAGGCAGUAGGUUCCUGACACAUUUGUGAAUCAUUGUCCCGACCGCAUUAGCCACUCACAAACAUGCUUAUGGCGUUGCCCUCUACCUUGGCUUGCCAUCAAUUGAAUUCCCCCUUCAUUGUCCCUAUUUUGCAAAGCUUUAACUGGCAUCACCCCCAAUAACUAAUUCCAUUAAGUCACACAGGUUAGUUAUGACGGACACUUCAUUCACUACCUCUACUUGCCUUUCUCCUCUCCCAACUCCCUAGGCCACCCAGGCUAUUUCCCUGGCCCAUCAGUCGGAGGCUCAAAACUCUUUCUCUCCCCCCCCCUCCAGCCCCUGAAUGUGGGGCUCCUUCCGCUCGUGAGUGCCUGCUUAGGGUGACCCUACUUGAUCCCUGUUACAUUCCUCUGGGCUUGUCAAAGGUUUGCAUUGUGUCCCUGAGUAGCUGGAGCAUGCCAUGAGGAGUGAGCACGGCCCAGUCCUAAUCAGGACAACCUCAGCCCCGUGAAAGAUGAAUAAUAGCGACGGCUUCAGCCCAUCGUCCCAGAAGAGCCCACUGAGGACGUUUGUUUUGGGAUAAUGAAUAUGGAAAUUGGGAUUCCAUAAUAAACUGCAAGCAGUCUUUCAACUCACUCGUGCCGAAAAUUCACACUCGCCUUUCCUAUAACUUGUCACUUGUGUUUUUAUUGUUCGAUAUGUAAACAAGGCCGGGAAAGCCUUUGUUCCUUGAUGCCUACUUAGAUUUGCCCAUUAAUCCCAACCCCCCUCCCUUACCCACCAAGGCAUGCAGGAUUACACAAAGCAAAAGUCAUUAAUUUUUAUCUCUGACUAUCUGUGGGGUUUUUAAUGUGGCCUGGCUUGCUUAUGCACCACCAAUUACAUGUCAUAAGUGCUUGUAGAUGCUGGAGCGGUAUCAUGGGCUGAUGAAUCACUGCCUCCUCCGCUGAUUAGUAUGCAAGGGGCCCUGUUCCUCUUUGAGCAGCUGGCAUGCCAAUGAGGAUCUGGCUCGGCCGGUCAAGGCAUCUGGACAUGAAUUCAAUAUGGAUUGCUUUAAUUAAAUGGCUAAGCGCACAAGAUGCUAAGAAACAACUCCAUCAUUGAGGGGAAACUUGAAAAUAUAGUCGACACAAGCAAAGCUGGG